UAUCAGAUUGGUGCAAAAGUAAUUGUGGUUUUUGCCGUAAAAGUAGAGGCAAAAACCUCAAUUGUUUUUGCGCCAGCCUAAUA
RNAcentral lists this microRNA precursor (83 nucleotides) under Aotus nancymaae (Ma's night monkey). RNAcentral describes it as "miRNA (ENSANAG00000004539.1)". The record is from RNAcentral. Lineage: Eukaryota; Metazoa; Chordata; Mammalia; Primates; Aotidae.